UACGGGGGGUGCAAGCGUUGUCCGGAAUCAUUGGGCGUAAAGCGUUCGUAGGCGGUAUGUCAAGUCUGAUGUUAAAGCCCGGGGCUCAACUCCGGUUCGGCAUUGGAUACUGGCAAACUAGAAUGUGGUAGAGGUAAAGGGAAUUCCUGGUGUAGCGGUGAAAUGCGUAGAUAUCACACAGAACACCGAUUGCGAAGGCAUCUCACGAAUCCGCGAUUGACGCUGAUGCACGAAAGCGUGGGUAUCAAACAGG
This 253-nucleotide ribosomal RNA is filed under the name uncultured bacterium. Its description in RNAcentral is "partial 16S ribosomal RNA". It matches the Rfam family "Bacterial small subunit ribosomal RNA", at positions 524 to 776 of the family's 1533-position model. The record is from RNAcentral.